UACGAAGGGGGCUAGCGUUGUUCGGAAUUACUGGGCGUAAAGCGCGCGCAGGCGGUUCUUCAAGUCAGUGGUGAAAGCCCGGAGCUCAACUCCGGAACUGCCAUUGAAACUGUAGAACUUGAGGAUGAGAGAGGUGAGUGGAAUUCCCAGUGUAGAGGUGAAAUUCGUAGAUAUUGGGAAGAACACCAGUGGCGAAGGCGGCUCACUGGACCACAACUGACGCUGAUGCACGAAAGCUAGGGGAGCAAACAGG
RNAcentral lists this ribosomal RNA (253 nucleotides) under uncultured bacterium. RNAcentral's name for it is "partial 16S ribosomal RNA". It matches the Rfam family "Bacterial small subunit ribosomal RNA", at positions 524 to 776 of the family's 1533-position model. The record is from RNAcentral.